AGAGUUUGAUCAUGGCUCAGGACGAACGCUGGCGGCGUGCCUAAUACAUGCAAGUCGAGCGAAUGAAUGGGAGCUUGCUCCCUGACAUUAGCGGCGGACGGGUGAGUAACACGUGGGCACCUGCCUAUAAGACUGGGAUAACUUCGGGAAACCGGAGCUAAUACCGGAUACGUUCUUCUCUCGCAUGAGAGAAGAUGGAAAGAUGGUUUCGGCUGUCACUUAUAGAUGGGCCCGCGGCGCAUUAGCUAGUUGGUGAGGUAACGGCUCACCAAGGCCACGAUGCGUAGCCGACCUGAGAGGGUGAUCGGCCACACUGGGACUGAGACACGGCCCAGACUCCUACGGGAGGCAGCAGUAGGGAAUCUUCCGCAAUGGACGAAAGUCUGACGGAGCAACGCCGCGUGAGCGAAGAAGGCCUUCGGGUCGUAAAGCUCUGUUGUUAGGGAAGAACAAGUACCAGAGUAACUGCUGGUACCUUGACGGUACCUAACCAGAAAGCCACGGCUAACUACGUGCCAGCAGCCGCGGUAAUACGUAGGUGGCAAGCGUUGUCCGGAAUUAUUGGGCGUAAAGCGCGCGCAGGUGGUUUCUUAAGUCUGAUGUGAAAGCCCACGGCUCAACCGUGGAGGGUCAUUGGAAACUGGGGAACUUGAGUGCAGAAGAGGAAAGGAAUUCCACGUGUAGCGGUGAAAUGCGUAGAGAUGUGGAGGAACACCAGUGGCGAAGGCGACUUUCUGGUCUGUAACUGACACUGAGGCGCGAAAGCGUGGGGAGCAAACAGGAUUAGAUACCCUAGUAGUCC
Molecule: ribosomal RNA, 802 nt
Filed under: uncultured bacterium
Lineage: Bacteria
Description: bacterial SSU rRNA
Rfam family: Bacterial small subunit ribosomal RNA
Source: RNAcentral